RNAcentral lists this ribosomal RNA (342 nucleotides) under uncultured bacterium. RNAcentral describes it as "bacterial SSU rRNA". It matches the Rfam family "Bacterial small subunit ribosomal RNA", at positions 335 to 668 of the family's 1533-position model. The record is from RNAcentral.
ACUCCUACGGGAGGCAGCAGUAAGGAAUAUUGGACAAUGGGCGCAAGCCUGAUCCAGCCAUCCCGCGUGCAGGAAGACCAGCCCUUAUGGGUUUUAAACUGCAUUUAGAAAGGGAAGAAACGCCCUACAUUUAUGUGGGUUUGACGGUACCUUCAGAAUAAGACACCGGCUAACUCCGUGCCAGCAGCCGCGGUAAUACGGAGGGUGCGAGCGUUAUCCGGAAUUACUGGGUUUAAAGGGUGCGUAGGCGGGCGAUUAAGUCAGAGGUGAAAGCUUUCAGCUUAACUGAGGAAAUUGCCUUUGAUACUGAUUGUCUUGAAAUAUGUUGAGGUUAGCAGAAUG